This 75-nucleotide transfer RNA is filed under the name Gallaecimonas xiamenensis 3-C-1. RNAcentral's name for it is "tRNA-OTHER". The record is from RNAcentral. Lineage: Bacteria; Pseudomonadati; Pseudomonadota; Gammaproteobacteria; Enterobacterales; Gallaecimonadaceae.
UGGAGUAUCGCCAAGCGGUAAGGCAGCGGGUUGGGGGGCGGGGGGGGGGGGGGUCGAAUCCUGGUACUCCAGCCA